This is a small nucleolar RNA of Gossypium raimondii (Peruvian cotton), 107 nucleotides long. It matches the Rfam family "Plant small nucleolar RNA R71". From Rfam's summary of the family: R71 is a member of the C/D box family of snoRNAs containing the C (UGAUGA) and D (CUGA) box motifs. Multiple nearly identical copies of this snoRNA have been identified in Arabidopsis, and it is thought to function as a 2'-O-ribose methylation guide for 18S ribosomal RNA. The record is from Rfam. NCBI's taxonomy places the organism in Eukaryota, Viridiplantae, Streptophyta, Magnoliopsida, Malvales, Malvaceae.
AUUCCGUGAUGACGGCACUUCCGUAAUAAUUCUAUGUACCUUUCCCAUGCCUCAUACAAUGACUCAUCAUCCAUUUGUUGGAAAGCAGAGAUCUCGUUCCUCAACUU